GCCGGCGUGCGCCGCCUCUCAUGCGUUUGGACACGCCCUCGUGCGCUCCUAUUGGCUGCGCAUACCUGUAUGAGAGCGCGCUCCGGCGGCUGCGGGAACUUCAUCCGAACAAGCGUAAAUGACGAACACUCCAACUCAAACAAUCCAUGCAAAAAAUCCAGAAAGAUGCACUUGUUGGGGAAAUUAAAGGUGUGCUGAGACCAAAUGGACCUGUAGCUGUUUCUUGUCCCUGAUUACUCUUGAUCAACUUUUUGUUUUGGUAUGAUUUUGUUGAUAUGUCUUCCCUGUAAAUGUAUCACAUUUGAAAUACUCGUGCAUGUAAUGAUGUUCUGAAGCUGUCUCUCAGCAACCCUGUUCCGAUAGAACCGUUUCAGCUAUGUACACUGGAAAAAAAAAAUUCUUAAUUUUCGGUUGCACAUAAGUAAAAUGUGGUAAAGUGGCAUAACGUCCCCCUCUUUUUCUUGAAAAUGAUCAAAUAAUAUUUGUUAGUUGAACGCAUUUGAAUCAUGUGCCACUGAUGUGCAAGUUCGAGGACUUUUUUUUCAGUGUAGAGGAAGAGGAAAAAAAGUGUGCUACCUGACUCAGGGGAAAUGACAUCUUCAAGUCUGAGCAGUGGCGUGGACAGGCGGCAGGAAUGACGAGGAUCAGGAACACGGGGGAAACACUCGGAACGAGGAGAGACACGGGAGUCCAAAAGUGAAACAAGGAACAGUGUGGCUUACAUGAGGUAAGUGGGCCGUGGUACCGCUGGAAUAAGCUGCAGUACUUUGCCGUGGAUUUCCGGAAACAGGCAGGCUUAUACGUAGGUGGUGACGAGGGCUGAUUGGAGACAGGUGCGCAGAUUGAGGAAGGUGCUGAAAGAGAGAAGGGAGGGGAGAGAGAGAGGGCGAGAGGGCGCAAAGCACCCUCCAGGCUCCAAUAAUGGUACUGCAGAGCAGUUCAUGACAGUACCCCCAUCUCAACAGACGCCUCCCGGCCGGAGGUUUCAGGGCGCAGGUGGGGACAGGCUUAAGCAAAGAGACGUGGAAUGUGGGGUGAAUUUUUAAGGACUGCGGAAGUUCCAAUUGGACGGAAGUGGGAUUGAUGAUUUUGGUAAUGGGGAAAGGACCAAUGAAGUGGAAGGUCGUGGGAAGAAAUGCAGACAGAUUGGCCCACCUUGUAUUCGAACGUCGAGGUGCGAUGACGGUCCGCAAGCUCUUUAUUGCGUGCGGCGGACUGGAUCAACGCCACCCGGACAUCCUUCCACACCGCCUGGACUCGCUGGAGGUGAUCUUGAAUGGCGGGGACUGCCACUGCCUGCUCCUGUUCUUUGAAUAAUGGGGGUUAGUAACCGUAGCAAGCCAUGAACGGCGACAUACCGGUAGCGGAGCUGGUGAGGGAGUUGUGAGCGUCUUCGAUCCACGGGAGGAAUGUACUCCACGAGGAGGGGUUGCAUGCGGAAGGAAAGACUGAAAUUGAACCUGCUCAGGAAUAGUGCCCAGCAAGCUUGUCGGGGGUUGAGACGUUUCGCAGAACGGAGGUAAGCGAGGUUUUUGUGGUCGGUCCAAAUGAGAAAUGGCUGUUCAGUCCCCUCCAGCCAGUGCCUCCAUUCCUCCAGGGCCCAUAUCAUGGCCAGCAGCUCUCGGUUGCCGAUGUCAUAUUUCCUCUCCGCAGGGGAUAGGCGACGGGGGAAAAAGCACAGGGGUGUAGUUUCUCGGUCGGGGGGCCCCGCUGCGAGAGGACAGCUCCAGCUCCAGAGUCCGAGGCGUCAACCUCCACCACGAACUGGAGGGAGGCGCACAAUGAGAGCAUUGUUGAACAGGGAUUUGAGUUUACUGAAUGCUUGAGAGACUGCUGGGGUCCACUGAAAGGGGGAGCUGGUCGAUGUGAGGCUGGUGAGGGGGAUUGCGACCUUGCUGUAGUUGCGGAUAAAUUGACGGUAGAAGUUGGAAAAUCCGAGGAAGCGUUGCAGUUAUUUCCGGGUAAUGGGGAUGGGCCAGUCGGUGAUGGCUUGGAUCUUGGUGGGGUCCGAUUGUAGUUGUCGCAACGUCCUCUCGGAUACGGAUGAGAUGGUAGGCGUUUCGGAGGUCCAAUUUGGUGAAAAUCUGAGCUUCGCAGAGGGGUUCAAAGGACGGGUCAAUCGGGGGUAGCGGUGACUUGUUUUUUAUGGUUAUGUCGUUGAGUCCACGGUAGUCUAUGCAUGGGCGGAGAGUGGUGUCUUUUUUUUUCCACGAAGAAGAACCCGGCCCCGACCGGAGACGAGGAACUAGUGGGAUACUUGUUGCGUGAGGGAGUGUAGGGAUUCCAUUAUUUCUUGGAGAGUCUUUUCUUGUCUUCCUAUGUGGGCACCUUGGAUGGUGAGUGCGUUCUUAAGCGCCUCCGGGGUUGCUGGGUCCAUAAUGGCCGAAGUAUUCUGUCACGUAUGGAGAGGAGCUGGACCCAAGAGCAGGCGGAGGCAGACAGAUUAUAAUGAACAGUUCAUUUAGGAAAGGUAAUGGAGGUGGUCCUAGGUGGGUUGGCAGGCAGUGGCGCGGAAAGUUGGCAGGCAGUGGUGGGGACAUUGGGGGCAGGAAUGACGUGGAUCAGGAACACGGGGGAAACACUCGGAACAAGGAGAGACACGCGAGUCAAAAAGGGAAACAAGGAACAGUGUGGUUUACAGUGGUACUGCUGAACAAGGCAGGUUUAUACGCAGGUGGUGACGAGGGCGGACUGGAGACAGGUGCGCGGAUUCAGGAAGGUGCUGAAAGAGAGAGAGAGGGAGGGGAGAGAGAGAGAGAGGGCGAGAGGGUGCAAAGUGCCAUCGCGGCUCCAAAAACGGUACUGCAGGGCAGUUCAUGACAAUUGGCUGAUUUGAAAGUAAAGAAGUGGAGAAUUACAUCAGUUUACCACAUUUUAAUCACGUGCAACCGAAAACGAACUUUUUUUUUUUUUUAGUGUAGAGCUCAGAGCUAAGUUUAUUCUUGACCAGUUAUUAUAGCAGCUAGCAUGCACUCCUGCGCAAAAAGAAUUAGUAGUGCUUGCCAAAUGUAAUGUAAACUUUAUUAGCAGGGGGACUGUUUUUUUUAUUUUUAUGACCAAUUAAAUUUCAAAUUUCCGCACAUCUCCUGUUAUUUAGCGGCAGACAUUGUGUGAAGGAGACUUGAAAAGAACAAAAAGUGUGUAGCCUCAGGAUCAAGGUUGAACAUUAUCAACAUUAUCAUUAUCAACAGAAACUAAGGCACAUUUGUUUGCAUAUUAGUCUCACUUUGUUUUAUUAUUAUUAUUCCAGGUUUCCACCUUCAGUUGUGUAUAGGGAAAUGGACUUUUAAGACAUUACGUUAAUGCAAUACAAACUUAGCGGAGGAAACUUGCAUUUAUUUGGUGCUGUCCAAACAAUCACUACUCUAAAUACUUACAAAGAUUUACUUUUCAUAACGCCUUGAAACCAAAAUAUGCUGUAUUCUGUGGUUUUCUUGCUUGUGAUAUGAUCUGAGGUCACCAUGGCGACGAUGUAGGUACUAUUGUCUUUAUUACCAGUGUAAUACAGCAAUACACCCCACUGUAUCAUCGAAAUGAUUUAGAAAUGUUAUUUGACGCCAGAAGUCUUACUGUUGAUUCACAUAAAGAUGAAGAAAGACUCAUGGGAACCAGUCUAACAACUUUAUGCACUUGGUUUCUAUAAAUAUUGAUUUUAUAACAGCUCCCGUGUGCUCUUCGUAACAAUUGUUAAAAGCAGACCUCCAACGCCACAGAGACCAUCAAAACGUCAUUGCACGCUUCAAUUGUGGGGUUAGUGACUACUUCUUCUGGUGGCAAUAUGUGCACAGUAACCCCAGUGUACACUCUUAUCUUACUUUGCAUAUCUCUUUCGCUUCGAGACUUGUGAGUUGACUUCCUGGAAAAUUGCACGAGUGAAGUCAUUUGACUUGUGCUGACAAACUCCAACCAAUGAAAGCAUCCCACAUGAGGAGACAAUCUUGCCUGAGCUCUCGUGGAUUCCGGCUGUCGCACGUUCACUAAGGAGUGAAGUGAAUUUGCCCAUUCAUCCACGGACUGGGAGCCAGCUCUCGGGAAAGUGAUGUUACAAAUUUCCUUUCCAUCAUUUUAUCCUAAGCGUGAGGUUAUUACAGGACAGUCGAUGCGCACUCUUUAGAAAAGGGCCUUCUAUCGGACCUCACAAAAAACAAAUGUGAAUUUUAUAUUUGUGGCUGAUGCGGUUUCUACAAUUGCAGAGGUGCUCUAUGUACAGUAUGUGCCAGGUGUUCUACAAAUAUGGAACUGUGCACGUCUCUGUACCAGUUCCAUAUUUUCAACGUAUCUCCGCCAGACCCUCAAUGGCAUUUGCUUUCCCUUUUUCUUUCAGCCUUCUUUUGCAUCAGGGAAAACGUGUCGGAGCCUCUGCAGAAUGAAAAUAAAAAAAAAACACAACAGCUUUUCCUGCACCGUGCACAUGGCGCAUCCCAAAAACAGCGGCGGGCCGUGUAUUUGGUACCUGGGUCUUAAGUGUGGACCUGACCUCAUCUACCUCUUAACCGCUUUCACGUCGCAAUUAUAGAAACCAUCAACGCUAUACAAAAAUGCAACAUAACAGCACGCACCUGCGCCACGUACAUCAGCUCGAGCAGUUCAGAAUCAAUAUUUAUCGAAUGACAUGGCAAAAUUAUAAAAAAAGAAUGAAAAAAAAAUCAGUCGUACUCACCAGAGAGGCUGAUUAUUAAAUGUGUGCUGGCCCUCUGAGGCGAAUUUGAAAUCUCAUUAGUUUGAGAAGCAGUGCCCUUGCUAUUAAAGUUUGGCCAGCGCUACUGAUUCCGAAGGGAAGAUUAGAAUGACAUGGCAACGCAGAGGCUGAAAUCUCAUUGGUCAAAAAGAACAACAACAAAAAAUACAACAUAUGAAGUGUGUCAGUAAGAUUCCAAGAUUGGUGUCACCCAAGAUAUAUUUCAAAUCCAAAGUGCAAAGCAUCAAUUAGUAACCACGUAGGGCAAGCAUAGGCUAUGUAAACAUACUAUUUCAUCAACAACAAAAAAGACCCUUUCAAAAUUGGCUUGAUAGUCUGCGACACACGAACACGUACACUCCCCCACCACCACAUCCAGGGGAAAUGCUUGCAACUCAAAAUGUGCGUACUGCAGAGCACGGGCCUGCAAUGGCAAAUGCUCAUUCUGAUUCCAUUACAGAGAGGCUGACUGACAGUACGACCCCAUCAUUGCGAUGACUCAUCUGGUCCAAAAGAAGCUAUUUCAGUUCGGUGGAGCCUCUUCAAAAGAAAAACGACAUUUUCAAGCUUUGCAACUGUAUUGUUGCAGUGAAAGGAAUCAACUCCUUAAAACAUUGUCACUUACAAGCCUAAUGAAAGGAAGUGUGAAGAAUCGGUUUCUUGUUUCGGCUUGUGUGACAGCCGCCGUCUACGCUGGUCCACCUGACUUACGCGCGACAUUUGACUAACAAACGACAGCCAGCAGGGAUGCAAACAAGGUGGCUGAGACAUUCGUUCAACACUCUUGACAUAGCAGCUGACUUUGACAGGUCGCCAGAAAGCUAUGUGCGCGAGUCACAAACACACACGCAAAGUGACUGUUUGGAAAAAAGGAAACCCCAAAUAAACCGUGAUCCAAGGCUAUAAUUCCUUAUAUUCUUUAAUGACUUACUUUCCAGUGUGGUCCGUGCUGACUCAGAUUCACUUUAA
Phyllopteryx taeniolatus (common seadragon) is the source of this 5647-nucleotide long non-coding RNA. RefSeq lists it as uncharacterized. The record is from RefSeq and is a predicted model, not a curated record. The transcript has 5 exons. NCBI's taxonomy places the organism in Eukaryota, Metazoa, Chordata, Actinopteri, Syngnathiformes, Syngnathidae.